This 520-nucleotide ribosomal RNA is filed under the name uncultured Glomeromycotina. RNAcentral describes it as "SSU rRNA". It matches the Rfam family "Eukaryotic small subunit ribosomal RNA", at positions 569 to 1089 of the family's 1831-position model. The record is from RNAcentral. Lineage: Eukaryota; Fungi; Glomeromycota.
AGCAGCCGCGGUAAUUCCAGCUCCAAUAGCGUAUAUUAAAGUUGUUGCAGUUAAAAAGCUCGUAGUUGAAUUUCGGGAUUAGUACGCUGGUCAUGCCUUUGGUAUGUACUGGUGUUACUGAUUCCUACCUUCUGAAGAACCGUUAUGUCAUUCAUUUGGUGUGGCGGGGAAUCAGGACUGUUACUUUGAAAAAAUUAGAGUGUUUAAAGCAGGCUCGCGCUUGAAUACAUUAGCAUGGAAUAAUGAAAUAGGACGUUGAUCCUAUUUUGUUGGUUUUCUAGGAUUGACGUAAUGAUUAAUAGGGAUAGUUGGGGGCAUUAGUAUUCAAUUGUCAGAGGUGAAAUUCUUGGAUUUAUUGAAGACUAACUACUGCGAAAGCAUUUGCCAAGGAUGUUUUCAUUAAUCAAGAACGAAAGUUAGGGGAUCGAAGACGAUCAGAUACCGUCGUAGUCUUAACCAUAAACUAUAGCCGACUAGGGAUCGGAUGAUGUUAAUUUUUUAAUGACUCAUUCGGCGCCUU